Molecule: long non-coding RNA, 385 nt
Filed under: Brassica napus (rape)
Lineage: Eukaryota; Viridiplantae; Streptophyta; Magnoliopsida; Brassicales; Brassicaceae
Description: long non-coding RNA (BNAP_LNC018891)
Source: RNAcentral
UUUAUGUGUGGUUGGAAACUGUAUUCCCUUGAUUCUUUAUUCAUGUUACUGGCAAUAGCUUUAUCGUUGACAUAUUUUUAUAAUACUUUAUACGUUUUUUCUUAAAUGGAUUUUUGUUGUUUGUGUUACUUUGUACGUUUAGUUUCUGGUUAUGUUUUGAAUAUUUUUGGUGUAAUCGAGUAUACUUGUGAGAUUGGGAUCACUGUUUGGUUGUGUUGUAUCAUUUGUUUGAAGAAAAAUAACAUAACAACUGUUGUUUAAAUCAUAAAACAACAUUUUGAUUUGUUUAUAUUAGUAUCGGGUGUUGCAUAUGUAUUCCAAUGUUGUAGAGAUACCAUGUAAUUUUGAUCUUUGUAUUUUUAUAAUUUAUCAUGUACCACUUGAU